UGCGGUUGUAACCAUGACUCUUUCUUAUACAACUGUAUGUUGUCUUAAAGAAAUAAAGUGAUUCGAUUUGAAAAGUAUCCCCAAUAUCUGUGUUGUAAAAAAUUGGUUAGAGUAUUACUUCGUUCUCUUCAUUUAUGCGAAUUGCUGAUAUUAACACUCUCAUAAAAACUGAUAUAUGUCUACAUUCGAUAGUAGCAAUAAUAAUUGGAAUCACAGUUAUUAUACUUUUCAACAUGGUUUUAAAAAAACAAGACAGAAGUGAAUUACUACUUUUAAUCUCUUACCCCGUUCAAAUAUGUAUUAUUGCCUUUGGAGCAAUAACAGGUGGCCAAGGAAUUAUGGAACAAGACGAAACGAUUUUAAAAAAUUUGUAUGGAUGUCCUUGGUAUACAUGGAAUUCGAAAAACAAAAAAACAUUUCUGCUCUUGAUGACAAUAACUGGAAAACCUGCAGGAAUUUAUUUCACAAAUAAUAUUGCUCUCAAUAACGUUUUGUAUUUAAGUAUUCUGAAAGGAAUAUAUACGUUUGGAGCUGUUAUGGUAUGAUUAUGGAACAGUGCAAAGGAGUAGUAUGACCACAAAUAACUGCACUUUGUACGAAAUCAAUGGAGAAUAAAUGUCAAAAAUAUGAGAGCACAAUAUAUCACAAUAUAACACUAUGCUCUAAUUUAUAUUUCAACACCGUUUCAAAUUCUUCAGGAUAUUGAAAUAAAAAUCACAUCCUUAGCACAACUAGAAUUGAUGUAAAAUGCACGAUGAUUGAUAUAUGUAUAUGUACUGAUGUUAUUUGAAACAAAUUUUGAUCGCUGAA
This is an RNA transcript of Leptinotarsa decemlineata (Colorado potato beetle), 810 nucleotides long. RefSeq lists it as uncharacterized. NCBI's taxonomy places the organism in Eukaryota, Metazoa, Arthropoda, Insecta, Coleoptera, Chrysomelidae. The record is from RefSeq and is a predicted model, not a curated record.